AGCAGCCGCGGUAAUUCCAGCUCCAAUAGCGUAUAUUAAAGUUGUUGCAGUUAAAAAGCUCGUAGUUGAAUUUCGAGACCGGCUUACUGGUCGUGCUUUUGUGCGUACUGGUAUAAUCGGUUUCUCCUUUCUGACGAACUUUAAUGCCAUUAAUUUGGUGUUUUAGGGAAUCAGGACUGUUACUUUGGAAAAAUUAGAGUGUUUAAAGCAGGCUCACGCUUGAAUACAUUAGCAUGGAAUAACGGAAUAGGACGUUUGAUUCUAUUUUGUUGGUUUCUAGGAUCGACGUAAUGAUUAAUAGGGAUAGUUGGGGGCAUUAGUAUUCAAUUGUCAGAGGUGAAAUUCUUGGAUUUAUUGAAGACUAACUACUGCGAAAGCAUUUGCCAAGGAUGUUUUCAUUAAUCAAGAACGAAAGUUAGGGGAUCGAAGACGAUCAGAUACCGUCGUAGU
Molecule: ribosomal RNA, 450 nt
Filed under: uncultured Glomus
Lineage: Eukaryota; Fungi; Glomeromycota; Glomeromycetes; Glomerales; Glomeraceae
Description: SSU rRNA
Rfam family: Eukaryotic small subunit ribosomal RNA
Source: RNAcentral